Molecule: ribosomal RNA, 426 nt
Filed under: uncultured bacterium
Lineage: Bacteria
Description: partial 16S ribosomal RNA
Rfam family: Bacterial small subunit ribosomal RNA
Source: RNAcentral
GUGAGGAAUUUUCCGCAAUGGGCGAAAGCCUGACGGAGCAAUGCCGCGUGAAGGAUGAAGGCCUAUGGGUUGUAAACUUCUUUUCUCAGAAAAGAAUUAUGACGGUAUCUGAGGAAUAAGCAUCGGCUAACUCUGUGCCAGCAGCCGCGGUAAGACAGAGGAUGCAAGCGUUAUCCGGAAUGAUUGGGCGUAAAGCGUCUGUAGGUUGUUUAAAAAGUAUUCUGUCAAAGAUUAGGGCUUAACCCUAGAUAGGCAGAAUAAACUUUUAAGCUAGAGUUUGGUAGAGGCAGAGGGAAUUCCCGGUGGAGCGGUGAAAUGCGUAGAUAUCGGGAGGAGCACCAAAGGCGAAGGCACUCUGCUGGGCCAAUACUAACACUGAGAGACGAAAGCGAGGGGAGCAAAUGGGAUUAGAAACCCGAGUAGUCC